RNAcentral lists this ribosomal RNA (484 nucleotides) under uncultured bacterium. RNAcentral describes it as "partial 16S ribosomal RNA". It matches the Rfam family "Bacterial small subunit ribosomal RNA", at positions 30 to 507 of the family's 1533-position model. The record is from RNAcentral.
AUUGAACGCUGGCGGCAGGCCUAACACAUGCAAGUCGAGCGGAUGAAGGGAGCUUGCUCCUGGAUUCAGCGGCGGACGGGUGAGUAAUGCCUAGGAAUCUGCCUGGUAGUGGGGGAUAACGUCCGGAAACGGGCGCUAAUACCGCAUACGUCCUGAGGGAGAAAGUGGGGGAUCUUCGGACCUCACGCUAUCAGAUGAGCCUAGGUCGGAUUAGCUAGUUGGUGGGGUAAAGGCCUACCAAGGCGACGAUCCGUAACUGGUCUGAGAGGAUGAUCAGUCACACUGGAACUGAGACACGGUCCAGACUCCUACGGGAGGCAGCAGUGGGGAAUAUUGGACAAUGGGCGAAAGCAUGAUACAGCCAUGCCGCGUGUGUGAAGAAGGUCUUCGGAUUGUAAAGAACUUUAAGUUGGGAGGAAGGGCAGUAAGUUAAUACCUUGCUGUUUUGACGUUACCAACAGAAUAAGCACCGGCUAACUUCGUG